This 1090-nucleotide long non-coding RNA is filed under the name Monodelphis domestica (gray short-tailed opossum). RNAcentral's name for it is "lncRNA (ENSMODG00000050570.1)". Lineage: Eukaryota; Metazoa; Chordata; Mammalia; Didelphimorphia; Didelphidae. The record is from RNAcentral.
GCAGGAGAAAGGUGUGUGGCGGAAACAUCCUGGAAAUCUAUUCAUCAAACAACUGGCCUUGAGGAUUUACUAGCUGUGGUGAGAGAAUAUCUCCAGUCUUCCUGGUGGACAGCCAGACUGGGCAAAAGAUCUCUACCUUGCUGGGACAUCUGAGGACAUCAGCUGGACUCCUGUACCUGACUCACCAAGGACCCUUUGUUUGUGAGAAAUCUGGUUACCUGUUGGACUUGCCUUUAGGAAUUCAUGUAAUUAGUGAAGUGACAACGAUGGUCUCCCAGGAAGACUAGCAACCAGCAUCUCUUCAUUUUGCCAGGAAGGCGCCUUAUUGAAGAGAAAGGAUGGAGCUUUGGGGGUCCUUCCACGGCGACACCAGUGAGACCCAGGGGAAAAGCCAGUCUACAGUACGCGUUGGACUUUGAGUCAAAAGAGCUGACAGCCAGGCAAAGUUUGGCCAGGCUAUAAAAUGGGUAAACAAUGUCAGAACCACUGAAGCGGAGGUCCAUCUGCAAUGUCGGGGAGCAAGCACGGGGAAGCCAUGCCUCCCCUUCCUUCCUAAUGGGAAGCAGCUGUGUAGUUGCAGGCGACCCAGACCGGAGUUUGAUGGAGAUUUUACUGGGCAGCACUCACUGGCUCGAGACUUUGGCUCCAAACCUCUCACUUUUGGUUCAGAGCUGGCCUCCCGUUCAAUCACUGUAAUUUUGCAUGGAGUGACAAAUAGAAUGAUAUAUACAGAACAUAGAUGUUGAUUAUACCCUACAUAAAACAUGCGUUUUAACUUUGUUGCAGUUUUUGGCAUUUCUGAAUUUAAGGGCCAUUAAAAAAAAGACUAAAAAACAACAAAAUACCACAUGUAAGCAAUUGAUUCUUGCUAUUUGGAUCUAAAACACCAAGAUCACAAUCUGUCCACAGAAUUUUGAAUCUUAUAAUUCCACCAUUUGGCUCCAAACCUAGUGACUGUGAAAACAUGUCUUUGUUUGGGUGUGUCCGACUGAUUAACAGCCAUGAAAAUAAGUACACCGCUAUGCCCCAGGCUUGAAAGAAAUCAGGGCGUGCCUAAAGAAACGUUGGGCAUGAGUCCCAAAAGCAGUGU